This 465-nucleotide ribosomal RNA is filed under the name Vreelandella stevensii. Its description in RNAcentral is "partial 16S ribosomal RNA". It matches the Rfam family "Bacterial small subunit ribosomal RNA", at positions 338 to 795 of the family's 1533-position model. Lineage: Bacteria; Pseudomonadati; Pseudomonadota; Gammaproteobacteria; Oceanospirillales; Halomonadaceae. The record is from RNAcentral.
CCUACGGGGGGCAGCAGUGGGGAAUAUUGGACAAUGGGCGAAAGCCUGAUCCAGCCAUGCCGCGUGUGUGAAGAAGGCCUUCGGGUUGUAAAGCACUUUCAGUGGGGAAGAAAGCCUUGGGGCUAAUACCCUCGAGGAAGGACAUCACCCACAGAAGAAGCACCGGCUAACUCCGUGCCAGCAGCCGCGGUAAUACGGAGGGUGCGAGCGUUAAUCGGAAUUACUGGGCGUAAAGCGCGCGUAGGCGGUCUGUUAAGCCGGUUGUGAAAGCCCCGGGCUCAACCUGGGAACGGCAUCCGGAACUGGCAGGCUAGAGUGCAGGAGAGGAAGGUAGAAUUCCCGGUGUAGCGGUGAAAUGCGUAGAGAUCGGGAGGAAUACCAGUGGCGAAGGCGGCCUUCUGGACUGACACUGACGCUGAGGUGCGAAAGCGUGGGUAGCAAACAGGAUUAGAUACCCUGGUAGUC